This 504-nucleotide ribosomal RNA is filed under the name uncultured bacterium. Its description in RNAcentral is "partial 16S ribosomal RNA". It matches the Rfam family "Bacterial small subunit ribosomal RNA", at positions 29 to 523 of the family's 1533-position model. The record is from RNAcentral.
AUUGAACGCUGGCGGCAGGCCUAACACAUGCAAGUCGAACGGUAGCACAGAGAGCUUGCUCUCGGGUGACGAGUGGCGGACGGGUGAGUAACGUCUGGGAAACUGCCCGAUGGAGGGGGAUAACUACUGGAAACGGUAGCUAAUACCGAAUAACGUCGCAAGACCAAAGUGGGGGACCUUAGAGCCUCACACCAUCGGAUGGGCCCAGAUGGGAUUAGCUAGUAGGUGGGGUAAUGGCUCACCUAGGCGACGAUCCCUAGCUGGUCUGAGAGGAUGACCAGCCACACUGGAACUGAGACACGGUCCAGACUCCUACGGGAGGCAGCAGGGGGGAAUAUUGCACAAUGGGCGCAAGCCUGAUGCAGCCAUGCCGCGUGUAUGACGAAGGCCUUCGGGUUGUAAAGUACUUUCAGCGGGGAGGAAGGCGGUGAAGUUAAUGACUCAACCGAUGGACGUUACCCGCAGAAGAAGCACCGGCUAACUCCGUGCCAGCAGCCGCGGUAA